GACGAACGCUGGCGGCGUGCUUAACACAUGCAAGUCGUACGGUAAGGCCCUUUCGGGGGUACACGAGUGGCGAACGGGUGAGUAACACGUGAGUAACCUGCCCACAACUUUGGGAUAACGCUAGGAAACUGGUGCUAAUACUGGAUAUGUGCCCCUGCUGCAUGGUGGGGGUUGGAAAGCUCCGGCGGUUGUGGAUGGACUCGCGGCCUAUCAGCUUGUUGGUGGGGUAGUGGCCUACCAAGGCGGCGACGGGUAGCCGGCCUGAGAGGGUGACCGGCCACAUUGGGACUGAGAUACGGCCCAGACUCCUACGGGAGGCAGCAGUGGGGAAUAUUGCACAAUGGGCGCAAGCCUGAUGCAGCAACGCCGCGGGCGGGAUGACGGCCUUCGGGUUGUAAACCGCUUUCAGCAGGGACGAAGCUUUUUGUGACGGUACCUGCAGAAGAAGCACCGGCUAACUACGUG
Molecule: ribosomal RNA, 465 nt
Filed under: uncultured bacterium
Lineage: Bacteria
Description: partial 16S ribosomal RNA
Rfam family: Bacterial small subunit ribosomal RNA
Source: RNAcentral